Molecule: ribosomal RNA, 468 nt
Filed under: uncultured bacterium
Lineage: Bacteria
Description: partial 16S ribosomal RNA
Rfam family: Bacterial small subunit ribosomal RNA
Source: RNAcentral
GACGAACGCUGGCGGCGUGCUUAACACAUGCAAGUCGAACGGAAAGGCCCUGCUUUUGUGGGGUGCUCGAGUGGCGAACGGGUGAGUAACACGUGAGUAACCUGCCCUUGACUUUGGGAUAACUUCAGGAAACUGGGGCUAAUACCGGAUAGGAGCUCCUGCGGCAUGGUGGGGGUUGAAAAGUUUCGGCGGUUGGGGAUGGACUCGCGGCUUAUCAGCUUGUUGGUGGGGUAGUGGCUUACCAAGGCUUUGACGGGUAGCCGGCCUGAGAGGGUGACCGGCCACAUUGGGACUGAGAUACGGCCCAGACUCCUACGGGAGGCAGCAGUGGGGAAUAUUGCACAAUGGGCGGAAGCCUGAUGCAGCAACGCCGCGUGCGGGAUGACGGCCUUCGGGUUGUAAACCGCUUUCGCCUGUGACGAAGCGUGAGUGACGGUAAUGGGUAAAGAAGCACCGGCUAACUACGUG